RNAcentral lists this ribosomal RNA (452 nucleotides) under uncultured bacterium. Its description in RNAcentral is "bacterial SSU rRNA". It matches the Rfam family "Bacterial small subunit ribosomal RNA", at positions 28 to 478 of the family's 1533-position model. The record is from RNAcentral.
GAUGAACGCUGGCGGCGUGCUUAACACAUGCAAGUCGAACGAAACACCUUAUUUGAUUUUCUUCGGAACUGAAGAUUUGGUGAUUGAGUGGCGGACGGGUGAGUAACGCGUGGGUAACCUACCCUGUACAGGGGGAUAACAGUCAGAAAUGACUGCUAAUACCGCAUAAGACCACAGCACCGCAUGGUGCAGGGGUAAAAACUCCGGUGGUACAGGAUGGACCCGCGUCUGAUUAGCUGGUUGGUGAGGUAACGGCUCACCAAGGCGACGAUCAGUAGCCGGCUUGAGAGAGUGAACGGCCACAUUGGGACUGAGACACGGCCCAAACUCCUACGGGAGGCAGCAGUGGGGAAUAUUGCACAAUGGGGGAAACCCUGAUGCAGCGACGCCGCGUGAGUGAAGAAGUAUCUCGGUAUGUAAAGCUCUAUCAGCAGGGAAGAAAAUGACGGUAC